Long non-coding RNA from Drosophila arizonae, 307 nucleotides. The record is from RefSeq and is a predicted model, not a curated record. NCBI's taxonomy places the organism in Eukaryota, Metazoa, Arthropoda, Insecta, Diptera, Drosophilidae.
AAGACAGCCUUCUUUUGUGGUUUCUUUGGCAAGUGGCUUCUUGUAGGAACUGGACAUGCUGAUGUCUUCCAACGACCGGCACAAAAUAUUUCCCUCAAUCAAUCGAGCACAUUGGUAGCGAACGGUCUGAUCUGGUCAUGAUAUUCCCACGCCAUCAUACCCAAAAGCUACAGCCUGCACGCAGUCAAUCAGGCUGUAUUUAUUACGCAGGCCUUCCUAAUAAUCAAGAACCUGAGUUGGCGGCAUGCACACUACAUGGCAACAGUUAGAACUGGUAGAUCAAUGUAAUAGAGUAUAAACAGUAAAA